RNAcentral lists this small nuclear RNA (132 nucleotides) under Tursiops truncatus (common bottlenose dolphin). Its description in RNAcentral is "U4 spliceosomal RNA (ENSTTRG00000021671.1)". It matches the Rfam family "U4 spliceosomal RNA". Rfam says of the family: U4 small nuclear RNA (U4 snRNA) is a component of the major U2-dependent spliceosome. The structure of U4 snRNA from yeast and human has been reported. The record is from Rfam by way of RNAcentral. Lineage: Eukaryota; Metazoa; Chordata; Mammalia; Artiodactyla; Delphinidae.
AGCUUUGCGCAGUGGCAGUAUCGUAGCCAAUGAGGUUUAUCCGAGGCGCGAUUAUUGCUAAUUGAAAACAAAACUCCUAGCAAGACUCAGAGCAUCAGCCACUGAGAUGGCUUCUGGCAAACAUAUGCUUGC